UGAGUGUCAGAGUCAUAGGCUUACAGUUGAAGAUCCUGUUACUGUUGAGUACAUAACUCGUUACAUUGCUGGUCUUCAGCAAAAGUACACCCAAAGUGGUGGGGUGAGGCCAUUUGGUCUAUCCACCUUGAUCAUUGGUUUUGACCCACACACAGGUGUCCCCUCACUUUACCAAACAGAUCCAUCAGGUACAUUCUCAGCUUGGAAAGCCAAUGCGACUGGUAGAAACUCCAACUCUACUCGGGAAUUCUUGGAGAAGAAUUACAAAGAAACAUCUGGCCAGGAAACUGUGAAACUAGCAAUACGUGCAUUGCUUGAAGUUGUUGAAAGUGGUGGAAAAAACAUAGAA
RNAcentral lists this unclassified non-coding RNA (349 nucleotides) under Hevea brasiliensis (rubber tree). Lineage: Eukaryota; Viridiplantae; Streptophyta; Magnoliopsida; Malpighiales; Euphorbiaceae. The record is from RNAcentral.